This 251-nucleotide ribosomal RNA is filed under the name uncultured bacterium. RNAcentral's name for it is "partial 16S ribosomal RNA". It matches the Rfam family "Bacterial small subunit ribosomal RNA", at positions 524 to 776 of the family's 1533-position model. The record is from RNAcentral.
UACGUAUGGACCGAGCGUUGUCCGGAAGCAUUGGGCGUAAAGGGAACGUAGGCGGUCUAGUAGUUAGAAGUGAAAUGCAUUAGCUCAACUAAUGUAAGCUUUUAAAACUGCUAGACUUGAGAGAUUGAGGGGAAAGUGGAAUUCCUAGUGUAGCGGUGAAAUGCACAGAUAUUAGGAGGAAUACCAGUGGCGAAGGCGACUUUCUCGAAAUCAUCAGACGCUUAGGUACGUGAGCGUGGGUAGCAAACAGG